GCAGCCGCGGUAAUUCCAGCUCCAAUAGCGUAUAUUAAAGUUGUUGCAGUUAAAAAGCUCGUAGUUGAAUUUCGGGGUCAGUAGGUCGGUCGUGCCACGGGUAUGUACUGGUCUCACUGAUUCCUCCUUCCUGAUGAACCGUAAUGCCAUUAAUUUGGUGUUGCGGGGAAACUGGACUGUUACUUUGAAAAAAUUAGAGUGUUUAAAGCAGGCUAACGCUUGAAUACAUUAGCAUGGAAUAAUGAAAUAGGACGUUCGAUCCUAUUUUGUUGGUUUCUAGGAUUGACGUAAUGAUUAAUAGGGAUAGUUGGG
RNAcentral lists this ribosomal RNA (312 nucleotides) under uncultured Glomus. Its description in RNAcentral is "SSU rRNA". It matches the Rfam family "Eukaryotic small subunit ribosomal RNA", at positions 570 to 886 of the family's 1831-position model. Lineage: Eukaryota; Fungi; Glomeromycota; Glomeromycetes; Glomerales; Glomeraceae. The record is from RNAcentral.